UUGGUGAACACUUGCGACUACUAGUUUCCC
This 30-nucleotide non-coding RNA is filed under the name Rattus norvegicus (Norway rat). Lineage: Eukaryota; Metazoa; Chordata; Mammalia; Rodentia; Muridae. The record is from RNAcentral.